Molecule: non-coding RNA, 4985 nt
Organism: Callithrix jacchus (white-tufted-ear marmoset)
Lineage: Eukaryota; Metazoa; Chordata; Mammalia; Primates; Cebidae
Source: RefSeq, a predicted model, not a curated record
GGCUCGGGUGAUUCUUCCACCUUGACCUCCCUAAGUGCUGGGAUUACAGGUGUGAGCCUCUGUGCCCAGCCCCAGCUGACUGUCUUGCAGUUAACCCGGUCCCUCCAUCAGGAUUGUGAGGUGGGCAAUCCUCGUUUAUUCAGGAAUACACACGGCCAGGAAACAGCAAAGAUCCUCAAACAGAAAUCCAUAGACAACCCCAAACCUCCCUAUAGCCAGCACCAUCCCCCCUUUCCCCAGCAGCAUCUAGUUUACUGUAAUCCAGUUUUAUUGAGCAUCCAAGGUACAGAGAUCAUUGAUUUAGCCCCACGCUUUCAGGUGCUUCUGGUGAUAUAAAGGAUGGAGACAGUCAUACAAAUAACCGCAAUAAGAGACAGAAAGGGACAAAGUGCUGUAAGCUCAGAGAAGGGUUGGAACUUCAUUUGGUGGGGUGAAGCAGGAAGGGCUUCAUGGAGGAGGUAACAUUUGAGAUGGGCACUGAAGGUUGGCUAGAUUUGGAUGGGAAGGUCACUCCCAGUAGAGAGAGUGGUGGGAGCAAAGGCAAGAAGGUUGCAAUGCAAGGGCUGCAUGGGGGUGGAAUAGUUCCCUCUACGUGACUAUAGGAGCACAGGGAAAAAGUGAGUUAGGAGCCUGACCUUGAAUGACCUUGGUCAUAAGGAGUGUAGAUUUUAGUUUCAUUUUCAUUGGUCAGUACAGCCAAGCCUUUGAAGAGUUUCUGCAGGAGAAUGUGGUUACUGGAGUUGGUUGCACCAGAGCAAACUGGACUGGGAACUGGGAAGGGGGUAAGCGGGAGGUACAGUCAGGACAUUAUUGUCAUCACGUGGGCAGCAGCAGUUACAGAGGCGAGCAAGGUGGAGACAGGGUGGAAAGGAAGGUGAGAAUCCAGAUGCCUGAGCUGUGUUGGGGGUUUCUGUCUCCAGUUCCUCCUCCCCUUCUUCCUCUAGUGAGGCAUCUGCCCCCAAAUUCCAGCAAAACCUCUCCUAUUCUCCAGGCCACCAAUGACAUCCACAUCGAUAAUUCCAGUGAUCGCUUCUCAAUCCUCAUCUUGCUGACCUACCAGCAGGACAGGCCAUACUUGGUCUGCCCUUCAUCAAUAAGCUCUCCCCUCCCAGUCCAGUCUCUCCUGGGUCACCACUAUAUCCUGGUUUUCCUCCCACCUCUCUGGCCUCUCUGCCUUUCCUGGAUCUAUCUCACGUUCCUGGCCUUGAAACCCUCCUUUUCGGUGUUACAGCUUUAAAUACCAUGUACAUGCUGGUGAUGCUUUAGCUCCAGCCUGAACCUCCUUGACAUCCAUGCUCCUUCUAUUUUCCACCUGAUCCUUCACUUGGCUAACCAGUGGCUCACCUUGGCAUAGUCCCAAAGGGGCUCUAUCUUGUUUCCCACUCCUCCUUAAGACCCCUGGAUUUGCUGUUUCUCUGCCCAAAUGCUCUUCUCCCAGCAGCCUCGUGGCUGGCUCAUGCUUCUCCUGAUGCUCUUCGCCCUGACUCACCCUAUCCAAAAUUGCAGCCUCCCAUACUGCCUGGAUCCUUUGUCUGCUUUCUUUUUCCCCGGCUUUAUCGACACUUAGCACACCAUACAUUGUACUUAUUUAUGUUUCUCAUUUGGUUGCCUCCAAGAUGGAAAUGAUCUUUCUUUUGUUUUAGUUACUGUUUUUGUAGCUCCUGCGAGUGCUUGGUACAUGGCAGGCACUCAACACAUAUUUGUUGAAUAAAUGAGAGUGAAUGCAUGAAUAGAAAACUGAACUUUGUCACUCUUUCAACUUGGGGAGCAAAACCAUGUGAAAGGUCACUGAUGAAGUUCCAGUGUGGAUGCCUGGAAGAUCCAAGAGAACAACUCCCACAGAUUUGGAAACACAGAGGAGAAGAGGUUUAAAAGGAGUGUCAGUUCAGACUGGGACAUUUUUGGUUUGGGUGACUUGAGGAAUGUCUUAUGAUAAGUCCAUCAGGCUUUGGGAGAUGAGGGUCUGGAGAGGAGCAGGGCAGGAGAUAGACCUGGGAAUUGUCCACAUGGAGGUAGUAACUUAAGCCAUGAGAAGAGGAAGAGAAGGAGGAAGAGGAGAAAGAGACAGAGACAGAGACAGAGAGAGAGAGAGAGAGAAAGAGAGAGAGAGACAGAGAGAGAGAGAGAGGGAGAGAAAGAGAGAGAGAGAGAGAGAGAGGGAGAGAAAGAGAGAGACAGAGAGAGAGAGAGAGAAAGAGAGAGAGAGAGACAGAGAGAGAGAGAGAGACAGAGAGAGAGAGAGAGAGGGAGACAGAGAGAGAGAGAGAGAGAAAGAGAGAGAGAGAGGAGAGAGAGAGAGAGAGAGAGGGAGAGAGAGAGAGAGAGCUCACCAAGAACAACUGAUUGGGGAACACCUACUUUUAGGGGAGGAGAAAAAAAUAGGAAUAUUUCAAGAGUGUGAGAGUAACCAGAAGAUUGAAAUACCAUGAAAACCAAAGACAGAGUUUGAAGACAGAAGAAAUCAUUGAUAAUACUGAAGGCAGCACCCUAAGGGGGAGAAAGAAGACUGGGAAUUGGUGAUUAGAUGUGACCACGUGGAGAUCUGCCAUCCUACUGCCCACACAUCCCGAUGAGCAGGUAAGCCCUUUCCUCGGAGAGGAGGAAAGCCUUUCUCCAAGGACUAGUGUUGGCAGUGGGCAAAAGGGCGCGCGGAAACGUGGGCUCCCCUCCCUUCCAAUGGGGAACUGGACAGCAAGGCCGCAGAACUGCGAGGGAGGGGGCCUGGAGCCCUGGUAAAAGGGCACAUCCGAAAAGGUAGGUUCUGGGGGCACCUGGCCAGAAAGAGGAUGAGGUUAUCGCAGCCAGCUCAAACACCAAGGCAGAGGACCUGGAAGAGUUGAACCCCUGUGGGACUCUGUGCUUUGAGUGGGCCUGGGAGAAGGUGACCUUCCCCUGGAAGCACUAAGGGCUCAGGAGGCCUUGUCCCCAGGAGGCCCCCGUGAAGUGAAGGCCACUCUCCUAAGAGGUGACGGGAGGGCUCUGCGCUGUCAACAGUCCAGGUACCCAAGACUUGCAGCCCAGCUGGGAACUUUGUAGGGGAUAGGGGAGGAGGAACAGAAGUGGCACUGGGCACUGCGGAGGGGGCUGGGCAGGGAGGAACACAGGAACAGGCUAAUGGCAGUGGCUGACCUUUUUCCCAUUCUGGCCUAAGGUCAGCCUUACAAGGGACCCAACAGGGACUCUCUUGCCCUCUUUAGGCCCCACUGGGUCACAGCUAGGUGCUGCAGUCUACUUACCAGGGACUGUGUCUUGAGUCUUAGGUAAGCUCAUGCUUGUUUUUCCUGCCCAAUUCAAGUCCUAUAAAUGAUUUCUUAGAGAUUCUACAGCCUGAGCUCUCCAGAAGCUCACUGUUUUGACAAGUGUUCUCUCCCAGAAAAUGGUCAGAAAGCGGCCUUUGCGUUCUUACCCCACGGACCCCUUUGAACAUGGCUCUGAGGGCCAACCCCGGGAAAGCUAGUGUCAGAAUUCCGGAUACUCAUGCUCACCAGGAACACUUUUACCAGGGGCUUCAACAUUUCACAAGUGCCUGAUGAAUGCCUGGACUUCAGAGCAGGUUAAAAGCAUAUUAAUCUAGCAACUAUGUCAUUGAUGUAAUUCGUUCCAGUGUGGUGGUUUUAAGAAAGGACACAUAAAUAUUCACAGUGGCUCUGUCCAAUUGUGCCUCUCCCGUGUACUCGUAACCCUGGAGGAGGAGGCAGGAAUUCUAGGUGCUGCCGACAGCUUCCCGGCAACAUGCCAUCUACUGUAAGUGGAAAAAGACAAGCCGCAAAAAAAUCAAAGAUGAAAUGAUGACCUGCUUCCCAGGUAUCUCCUCUGCCCCGGGGGAUGGGCUGAGCACAUCAAGAGGAAGCUGAGUACUAAAGAAAAAGGGAAAAUUCUCCAGGAACCUGAGAUGACCUGGGCGGAAUGAAAUGGCAUGGGGAAAAAUGCCACCGGGUUUGCACAGGGCAGGGUCACACGGUCUGGAUUUUGACAGCACGUUUCUGAGAAGCAUUCUGGGAAUUCAUUCUUGAGUCUCCUUAACUCUCACACAAGUUGAGGGCCAGGCAUACAAAGAUGCCUUUUCAGGAAUAGACUCACAGGGAUUAUACACAUUUUAUAUAAAAGCAGUAAUUCUCAAGUUUAAUAAAAGAAUAAAACAGCAGAUGGGUAAGAAUAAAUGUGCAUCCUCUUAGUAAGCUUAAGCUGUGUGUUUUGUGCAGACUUUAAUUUUUUUGUUUUUGAAAUGGAGUCUCGCUCUGUCACGCAGGCUGGAGUGCAAUGGCAUGAUCUUGGUUCACUGCAACCUCUGCCUCCUGGGUUCAAGCAAUUCUCCUACCUCAGCUUCCCAAGUAGCUGGGACUACAGGCAUGUGCCACCACGCCCAGCUAAUUUUUGUUGUUGUAUUUUUAGUAGAGACGGGGUUUUGUCAUGUCGGUCAGGCUGGUCUUGAUCUCCUCAUCUCAUGUGAUCCACCCGCCUUGGCCUCCCAGAGUCUGGGAUUACAGGCUUGAACCACCGUGCCCAGCCAGGCUUUAAUGUUUUUAAAAGUGCAGAGCUUUUAGGGAGAUGAAGGAAAUGAACCUACUAUAAAUCUGCAGGCAUUUAGACCCCUUGAAACAAUUAAGACAGUGCAUUCACAAAGCAGCUUUCAAUCAAACAACCCAUAAUACUUAUGUAGAAAAUGUUCCAGCUUCCAUAAUUCUUUAUUAAAUAUUUGACAAAUUGCAUCACUUCUUUACAAUGACUUCAUUUUGUCACAUUUGUCUUUUGCUGUCAGGAAAACAAUCUACAGUUUCUCUUUAGAUCUCUCAAGAAAAAGAAAAGCGAAAAGGAUUUGUUCUCAAAGAAAACUUUUCCUGUGUGUAUCAAAUUCAACCAUAUUUUAAAGCUAUUCUGAUUGUGAAAAUGAGCAUUAUCCGUAAGUUGUCUUAAAAAAACUUCAAGGUAGUUUGGUUUUUCAUUGUAUCAAAUAGGACUUGGCUUCCUAUUAGGAGGUGGGUUUA